RNAcentral lists this ribosomal RNA (554 nucleotides) under uncultured bacterium. RNAcentral's name for it is "bacterial SSU rRNA". It matches the Rfam family "Bacterial small subunit ribosomal RNA", at positions 355 to 896 of the family's 1533-position model. The record is from RNAcentral.
UAGGGAAUCUUCGGCAAUGGGGGGAACCCUGACCGAGCAACGCCGGCGUGAGUGAAGAAGGUUUUCGGAUCGUAAAGCUCUGUUGUUAAGGAAGAACGAGUGUGAGAAUGGAAAGUUCAUACUGUGACGGUACUUAACCAGAAAGGGACGGCUAACUACGUGCCAGCAGCCGCGGUAAUACGUAGGUCCCGAGCGUUGUCCGGAUUUAUUGGGCGUAAAGCGAGCGCAGGCGGUUAGAUAAGUCUGAAGUUAAAGGCUGUGGCUUAACCAUAGUACGCUUUGGAAACUGUUUAACUUGAGUGCAAGAGGGGAGAGUGGAAUUCCAUGUGUAGCGGUGAAAUGCGUAGAUAUAUGGAGGAACACCGGUGGCGAAAGCGGCUCUCUGGCUUGUAACUGACGCUGAGGCUCGAAAGCGUGGGGAGCAAACAGGAUUAGAUACCCUGGUAGUCCACGCCGUAAACGAUGAGUGCUAGGUGUUAGACCCUUUCCGGGGUUUAGUGCCGCAGCUAAUGCAGNAANGCGCUCUCGGCCUGGGGAGUACGACCGCAAGGUUG